Haliotis rubra (blacklip abalone) is the source of this 100-nucleotide long non-coding RNA. RefSeq lists it as uncharacterized. The transcript has 3 exons. The record is from RefSeq and is a predicted model, not a curated record. NCBI's taxonomy places the organism in Eukaryota, Metazoa, Mollusca, Gastropoda, Lepetellida, Haliotidae.
UAGUCCAGAGGCAAAUCGUCUGCAGCGGCGUCCGCCAUUUUGGUUUACUUAUCCUUACGAGUGCUGGUACCAAUCUAUUUUUAUAUAUAUAUAUAUGGUU